This 479-nucleotide ribosomal RNA is filed under the name uncultured bacterium. RNAcentral describes it as "partial 16S ribosomal RNA". It matches the Rfam family "Bacterial small subunit ribosomal RNA", at positions 28 to 507 of the family's 1533-position model. The record is from RNAcentral.
GAUGAACGCUGGCGGCGUGCUUAACACAUGCAAGUCGAACGAAGCACUUAAGAUUGAUUCUUCGGAUGACGUCUUUUGUGACUUAGUGGCGGACGGGUGAGUAACGCGUGGGUAACCUGCCUCACACAGGGGGAUAACAGUUAGAAAUGACUGCUAAUACCGCAUAACCCGAUAGGAUCGCAUGAUCCAGACGGAAAAGAUUUAUCGGUGUGAGAUGGACCCGCGUCUGAUUAGCUAGUUGGUGAGGUAACGGCCCACCAAGGCGACGAUCAGUAGCCGGCCGGAGAGGGUGAACGGCCACAUUGGGACUGAGACACGGCCCAAACUCCUACGGGAGGCAGCAGUGGGGAAUAUUGCACAAUGGGGGAAACCCUGAUGCAGCGACGCCGCGUGAGUGAAGAAGUAUUUCGGUAUGUAAAGCUCUAUCAGCAGGGAAGAAAAUGACGGUACCUGACUAAGAAGCCCCGGCUAACUACGUG